Molecule: transfer RNA, 92 nt
Filed under: Hyphococcus luteus
Lineage: Bacteria; Pseudomonadati; Pseudomonadota; Alphaproteobacteria; Parvularculales; Parvularculaceae
Description: Marinicaulis flavus tRNA-Ser
Rfam family: tRNA
About the family: Transfer RNA (tRNA) molecules are approximately 80 nucleotides in length. Their secondary structure includes four short double-helical elements and three loops (D, anti-codon, and T loops).
Source: RNAcentral
GGAGACGUGGCCGAGUGGUCGAAGGCGCUCCCCUGCUAAGGGAGUAAGCGGUUUGUCCCGCUUCGAGGGUUCGAAUCCCUUCGUCUCCGCCA